CUGGGACCUUUUAUUUAUUUUAUAAACACUUUACAUGUCACGUUGAUAUUUUCAGUAUAAAUGGAAUUCAAAUAAUUGAACCGAUGUCAUCAAUUAGUUGUUUAAAAACUGCAAAGAUUACUGUGAUCUCAGUUAAUGCUCAGCACUCGCAGACAGGCAGUCAGACAGACAGACGGUCACCAUAGCAGUCAGACAGACGGUCACCAUAGCAGUCAGACAGACAGACAGACGGUCACCAUAGCAGUCAGACAGACAGACAGUCACCAUAGCAGUCAGACAGACAGACAGUCACCAUAUCAGACAGGCAGGCAGACAGACGGUCACCAUAGCAGUCAGACAGACAGUCACCAUAGCAGUCAGACAGUCAGACAGACAGUCAGACAGACAGACAGUCAGACAGACGGUCACCAUAGCAGUCAGUCAGACAGACAGUCAGACAGACAGUCAGACAGACAGUCAGACAGACGGUCACCAUAGCAGUCAGUCAGACAGACAGUCAGACAGACAGUCAGACAGACAGUCAGACAGACGGUCACCAUAGCAGUCAGUCAGACAGACAGUCAGACAGACAGUCAGACAGACGGUCACCAUAGCAGUCAGUCAGACAGACAGUCAGACAGACAGUCAGAUGGGUAAGCAAUAACAAUAAACAAAUUCAGGUAGAAACACACCAACACGAUAAAUGGUGUUUCCCUUCCUGUACAAAUCACCUGGGAAGGCAGAACGUUAAGGUUUCUUACUUCCUGUACAAAUCACCUGGGAAGGCAGAACGUUAAGGUUUCUUACUUCCUGUACAAAUCACCUGGGAAGGCAGAACGUUAAGGUUUCUUACUUCCUGUACAAAUCACCUGGGAAGGCAGAA
Oncorhynchus tshawytscha (Chinook salmon) is the source of this 862-nucleotide long non-coding RNA. The record is from Ensembl. Lineage: Eukaryota; Metazoa; Chordata; Actinopteri; Salmoniformes; Salmonidae.